Molecule: ribosomal RNA, 488 nt
Filed under: uncultured Streptococcus sp.
Lineage: Bacteria; Bacillati; Bacillota; Bacilli; Lactobacillales; Streptococcaceae
Description: bacterial SSU rRNA
Rfam family: Bacterial small subunit ribosomal RNA
Source: RNAcentral
GUUUUCCUUCGGGACAGAGGUGACAGGUGGUGCAUGGUUGUCGUCAGCUCGUGUCGUGAGAUGUUGGGUUAAGUCCCGCAACGAGCGCAACCCCUAUUGUUAGUUGCCAUCAUUUAGUUGGGCACUCUAGCGAGACUGCCGGUAAUAAACCGGAGGAAGGUGGGGAUGACGUCAAAUCAUCAUGCCCCUUAUGACCUGGGCUACACACGUGCUACAAUGGCUGGUACAACGAGUCGCAAGCCGGUGACGGCAAGCUAACCUCUUAAAGCCAGUCUCAGUUCGGAUUGUAGGCUGCAACUCGCCUACAUGAAGUCGGAAUCGCUAGUAAUCGCGGAUCAGCACGCCGCGGUGAAUACGUUCCCGGGCCUUGUACACACCGCCCGUCACACCACGAGAGUUUGUAACACCCGAAGUCGGUGAGGUAACCGUAAGGAGCCAGCCGCCUAAGGUGGGAUAGAUGAUUGGGGUGAAGUCGUAACAAGGUAACC